GUAGUCUGCAACUCGACUACAUGAAGCUGGAAUCGCUAGUAAUCGCGGAUCAGAAUGCCGCGGUGAAUACGUUCCCGGGUCUUGUACACACCGCCCGUCACACCAUGGGAGUCAGUAACGCCCGAAGCCGGUGACCCAACCUAUUCUGGAGGGAGCCGUCGAAGGCGGGACGGAUGACUGGGGUGAAGUCGUAACAAGGUAGC
This 203-nucleotide ribosomal RNA is filed under the name uncultured bacterium. Its description in RNAcentral is "partial 16S ribosomal RNA". It matches the Rfam family "Bacterial small subunit ribosomal RNA", at positions 1300 to 1500 of the family's 1533-position model. The record is from RNAcentral.